GCCCUCGCUGCGAGCCGAAGGGAGAGCGCCCGCCCCGCUCGCGGCCGCCGGGCGAAAGGCGGUCCGCACCCCGAGCCCGCACCUGGCCGCCGCGCACCCGGCAGGAAGGGGCGGAAGGAGCGCGCGCGGGGCCGCCCUUUUUGUAUUCGCUCGCCUGUGCGUCCGCGAGACCGGAGCAGGGCUGCACCCCGGCGCGCGCAAUGGCGAAGGCGCCUCUGUUUGGGGAGGCGGCUCUACCUGCCCGCCCCGCGCCCGGCCCCUCCCCCACGCGGCGCAGGUAGAGGCACCUGGCGGCGCCGCCCAUUGGCUCCUUCAAACCACGACGUGGCAGCGGCGGGGGAGGAGGCCGCUUGGGGAGGGGGAGAGGGGCGGGAGACAAUGGCACGAUGAAUGGAGAGGCAGGGGCCGGGCGCACGGGGAGGCCCGAGGGGCGGGGACCAGGCGGCGGCGGCCCCGCGGGCAGGCCAGGCGGGCGGGAGGAGGGUGAGGGGCCCCGGGGGGCGGGGGCGGAGUCGCGGGCUGGGUCGGUCCUGGACGUGAACGGCGGCUAGGGGGGCUGCAGGAGAGGCUGGCGGCUAGAGGUCCCGGACGCGGUCGGAGGUCCCGAGGGUCAGGCGAAAGGAGGCCAGAGCAGGAGCCCUGCCGCGGCCCCUCCCCUUGGCCAGGCCCACCUUUCGGGAAGCGUCCUCGCGCGGCCGCCGAGUCACCCCAGGAUGCAGAGACGCACCGCGCGAGGCAGCGGGGACCCUGCUCCCUUUGCUUCCCACUUUUCCUUGCUAUCCCAUGUUGGCCUCGGGUGCUAGUUCAAGACCGGAAAACCCUCAGGGUUGGGGCCGGUUCUUUUGAUUUGUCUUGAGCUUCAAAUAAAAUGCACCUACCCCGCGUGCCUAAUAAAGGAUUUCCACAAUCGG
Molecule: long non-coding RNA, 911 nt
Organism: Chinchilla lanigera (long-tailed chinchilla)
Lineage: Eukaryota; Metazoa; Chordata; Mammalia; Rodentia; Chinchillidae
Exons: 2
Source: RefSeq, a predicted model, not a curated record